This 699-nucleotide ribosomal RNA is filed under the name uncultured bacterium. RNAcentral describes it as "bacterial SSU rRNA". It matches the Rfam family "Bacterial small subunit ribosomal RNA", at positions 97 to 784 of the family's 1533-position model. The record is from RNAcentral.
GGCGGACUGGUGAGUAACACGUGGCUAACCUACCUUCUUGACGGGGAUAACUAUUCGAAAGAAUAGCUAAUACCCGAUAUUGCUGAAGAUCGAUGGAUCUUCAGCCAAAGGCGGCCUAGUCGUCACAAGAAGAUGGGGCUGCGCCCUAUUAGCUUGUUGGUAAGGUAAUGGCUUACCAAGGCAAUGAUGGGUAGCUGGUCUGAGAGGAUGAUCAGCCACAUUGGGACUGAGAUACGGCCCAGACUCCUACGGGAGGCAGCAGUGGGGAAUAUUUCACAAUGGGCGAAAGCCUGAUGGAGCAACACCGCGUGGGGGAUGAAUGCCUUCGGGUUGUAAACCCCUUUUCUGGGGGAAGAAUAAGGUCGGGAGGGAAUGCCCGUCCGAUGACGGUACUCCAGGAAUAAGGAUCGGCUAACUUCGUGCCAGCAGCCGCGGUAAGACGAAGGAUCCGAGUGUUAUCCGGAAUUACUGGGCGUAAAGGGCGUCUAGGCGGCCAAGUAAGUCACCCGUGAAAGUCCGCGGCUUAACCGCGGAAUGCCGGGUGAAACUGCUUGACUUGGGUACAGGAGAAGAGGGUGGAACUCACAGAGUAGCGGUGGAAUGCGUAGAUAUUGUGAGGUACCCCGAUGGCGAAGGCAACCCUCUGGCCUGCUACCGACGCUGAAGCGCGAAAGCGUGGGGAGCAAAGGGGAUUAGAUA